Molecule: non-coding RNA, 1599 nt
Organism: Paramuricea clavata
Lineage: Eukaryota; Metazoa; Cnidaria; Anthozoa; Malacalcyonacea; Plexauridae
Source: the annotation of a GenBank genome assembly
UUAGUGACAAAAUGAAGAAGCUUAUUACCAAAUGUGACUUCAAGACACUAGACUGUACCUUAGAACGAGUGAAGGUUAGAAUAUUAUUUAUAUUGGAUAGCUCUAUCAGCACUUGUUUUUCUUAGAGGUCCAGUAAGGGACCCGUCACAGACUCUGGCUACGCCCAUGAUUUUGACGUUACCGCUGCAAUGCCGUCGCCAUGUUCCUAGCCAGUGCGCUUACGAUAGGCAUUCACCCCCCCCCCCCUGAAAAUAUUUAAAAUGGUGGACGUCCAGGGGGUGCAUACCUCUUUUGUAGAAGGAAAUUUCAAGCGAAAAUUUACAUGCUUUUAGACCCAACCGGAAGCCCCAACACGAUUUUAGACCCAACCGGAAGCCCCUGCGAAAAAUGAAACCAUAAAGACCCCCCUCGGCAGGAAUCGAACUUGUUACCCCGCGAUUCCGGGGUAGCGCUCUGACCACACUGAGUUAUACGCCUGUAUUCUAAAAGCUCACUCACACUCAAAGAGUGGAGGUUCAAUCUGAACUUCCCUUGAGUGUCAGUGCUGUUUUUGAAUAGCUGGUGGGUUAGGCCAAAAAAAAAUAUGUGGGUUUCCGGUUUCUUCUUAUAAAAACUUAGGUAGGGUAGGUCGGUUUUAACUUUUUUUUUAAACUUUUUUUUAAAUUAAUUUUCCGAACAAGCGGACGCCAUUUUGUUUAGUCAGUGCUUCCAGCCUUCCACAUCCAAAGAUAAAUUUCCCUAAUAUUGCCUCAAAUUUCAAUUUUCCACAAACUUUUUCCUCUAAGUGGAAACACUUACAAGCAUGAUCCAAUAAAAAAGUUUAGGGUCGGGAUUUCGACGUCCAAAAGCUAGGUAGGGUCGGGAAACCGGAAACCCACAUAUUUCUUUUUUGGCCUUAGAGUCGUUCCUUACUAUGCGACUACUCACCCUCCAGCUAUUUAAAAACAGUACUGACGGUUAAGGGAAGCUCAGAUUGAACCUCCACUCUUUGAGUGCGAGUGUGGUUUUAGCAUACAGGCGAUACAGCCCAAUUUGAGACAGUUCAGACACGACAGUUUGUUGUAGAAUACUACCACCUACACUGGACCACCACGUUUGUUUGUUUUUCAGAUGUUAUUUGAAUGCUAUGCGAAUCAAGACACAAUGCGAAUUUCUCGAACAGAUCUAUGGAUAGGUUUAGCCGCCGGCGGCUUGAGGUCUGCAGAAGCGACAAUCGACGAUUAUUUCUCGGACAAAAACAGUUUUGAUUUCCUAGAUUUUUUGACCUAUCUGCCACUAUUUCAGGAAAUUCAUGGAUAUGUUGUCGAAAAUCCGCUCACUUUGUUUUAAAAGGCAGGUGAAAUGAUUAAAAUAGCUGCUAUUUAUUGUUUACAUGUGGUAUAUAACGUAUAUUUAUGUCGAAAUAUUUUUCAGAUCAUUCCGGAAUACGUCACAACUACACUGUUUUCAACUUAGGACCACCUUAAAUGGAAAGGAUUUCAAGUUUUUUUCUCAUGGGCUUUGCACAGAGAAGCAGAACAUCCUUCUUCAACACAUGCGAGAAAAAAGUUUGGAUUUUGAUCAAUAAAUGUGGAAAUAAGUUUUAACACGAAAACGAGG